This 468-nucleotide ribosomal RNA is filed under the name uncultured bacterium. RNAcentral's name for it is "partial 16S ribosomal RNA". It matches the Rfam family "Bacterial small subunit ribosomal RNA", at positions 28 to 507 of the family's 1533-position model. The record is from RNAcentral.
GACGAGCGCUGGCGGCGUGCUUAACACAUGCAAGUCGAACGGAAAGGCCCUGCUUUUGUCGGGUGCUCGAGUGGCGAACGGGUGAGUAACACGUGAGUAACCUGCCCUUGAAUUUGGGAUAAAUUCAGGAAACUGGGGCUAAUACCGGAUAGGAGCUCCUGCUGCAUGGUGGGGGUUGGAAAGUUUCGGCGGUUGGGGAUGGCCUCGCGGCUUAUCAGCUUGUUGGUGGGGUAGUGGCUUACCAAGGCAUUGACGGGUAGCCGGCCUGCGAGGUUGACCGGCCACAUUGGUACUGAGAGACGGCGCAGACGCCUACGGGAGGCAGCGGUGGGAAAUAUUGCACAAUGGGCGGAAGCCUGAGGCAGCGGCGCCGCGUGCGGGAUGACGGGCUUCGGGUUGUGAACAGCUUUCGCCUGAGACGAAGCGUGAGUGACGGUAAUGGGUAAAGAAGCACCGGCUAACUACGUG